RNAcentral lists this ribosomal RNA (429 nucleotides) under uncultured bacterium. RNAcentral's name for it is "bacterial SSU rRNA". It matches the Rfam family "Bacterial small subunit ribosomal RNA", at positions 355 to 776 of the family's 1533-position model. The record is from RNAcentral.
UAGGGAAUCUUCGGCAAUGGACGAAAGUCUGACCGAGCAACGCCGCGUGAGUGAAGAAGGUUUUCGGAUCGUAAAACUCUGUUGUUAGAGAAGAACAAGUGAGAGAGUAACUGUUCUCACCUUGACGGUAUCUAACUAGAAAGCCAGGGCUAACUACGUUCCAGCAACCGCGGUAAUACGUAGGUGGCAAGCGUUGUCCGGAUUUAUUGGGCGUAAAGCGAGCGCAGGCGGUUCCUUAAGUCUGAUGUGAAAGCCCCCGGCUCAACCGGGGAAGGUCAUUGGAAACUGGGGAACUUGAGUGCAGAAGAGGAGAGUGGAAUUCCAUGUGUAGCGGUGAAAUGCGUAGAUAUAUGGAGGAACACCAGUGGCGAAGGCGACUCUCUGGUCUGUAACUGACGCUGAGGCUCGAAAGCGUGGGGAGCAAACAGG